AUAUUUAAUUUCAUAAACUGUUAUGUACUUUACUAUUGGGAGUAUGAUCAUGACUUGAUUUGGAAAGUUGAUUAUUGAUUUUUAAAAUCCGCGUGACUAUAGUCUAGGCCCCGCCAAUGGGAUGAUACGUUGGCCCUGUCGACUUGUACUGAGGAACUAGUUCCGACACCGCGACCACCGGUGAUAGAAUAGUGGCGGCACAGGGGUGCAUUUUUGCUCUUCGGAGCGGCUCGGUGGAGCGUGAGAUUGGCACCAGGGGGUGCAGCACAGUGGUGCAUUGGCUCAGUGGAGCGGCUCUUCGGAGAGUUGUAUUGGCACUACGGUGUAACCAUGCCACUGGGUGAUGUGGCCGUAGUCAUG
Molecule: long non-coding RNA, 360 nt
Filed under: Phoenix dactylifera (date palm)
Lineage: Eukaryota; Viridiplantae; Streptophyta; Magnoliopsida; Arecales; Arecaceae
Description: long non-coding RNA (PDAC_LNC000020)
Source: RNAcentral